RNAcentral lists this ribosomal RNA (113 nucleotides) under uncultured fungus. RNAcentral's name for it is "partial 28S large subunit ribosomal RNA". It matches the Rfam family "Eukaryotic large subunit ribosomal RNA", at positions 1 to 117 of the family's 3401-position model. The record is from RNAcentral. Lineage: Eukaryota; Fungi.
UGACCUGAAGUGGUACGAGACACCCGCUGAAUUUAAGCAUAUUAUUAAGCGGAGGAAANNAACUACCAAGAAUUCCCUAGUAACGGCGAGUGACCCGGGNNAGCUCAAAGUUG